RNAcentral lists this transfer RNA (72 nucleotides) under Paludibacteraceae bacterium. RNAcentral describes it as "tRNA-Arg". It matches the Rfam family "tRNA". From Rfam's summary of the family: Transfer RNA (tRNA) molecules are approximately 80 nucleotides in length. Their secondary structure includes four short double-helical elements and three loops (D, anti-codon, and T loops). Lineage: Bacteria; Pseudomonadati; Bacteroidota; Bacteroidia; Bacteroidales; Paludibacteraceae. The record is from RNAcentral.
GGUCCCAUAGUUCAACGGAUAGAAUACGAGUUUCCUAAACUUUAGAUCCGAGUUCGAUUCUCGGUGGGACUA